AAUAGAUACCCAGGUAGUCCACGCCGUAAACGAUGGAUACUAGCUGUUGGAGGUAUCGGACCCCUUCAGUAGCGAAGCUAACGCGUUAAGUAUCCCGCCUGUGGAGUACGGUCGCAAGACUAAAACAUAAAGGAAUUGACGGGGACCCGCACAAGCGGUGGAUCGUGUUCUUUAAUUCGAUGCUAAACGAAGAACCUUACCAGGGUUUGACAUCCCUUGAAUUAAUCCGAAAGGAUUGAGCGCUUUAUUGAACAAGGUGACAGGUGAUGCAUGGCCGUCGUCAGCUCGUGUCGUGAGAUGUUUGGUUAAGUCCAUCAACGAGCGCAACCCUUGCAAGUAGUUGUAUUUUUCUACUUGGACUGCCCCGGUAACGGGGAGGAAGGAGGGGAUGAUGUCAGGUCAGUAUUUCCCUUACAUCCUGGGCUAGAAACACGAUACAAUGGCUAGUACAAUGCGCAGCGAAGCCGCGAGGUGAAGCAAAUCGCAUCAAAGCUAGUCCCAGUUCGGAUUGGAGGCUGAAACUCGCCUCCAUGAAGUCGG
RNAcentral lists this ribosomal RNA (540 nucleotides) under uncultured bacterium. Its description in RNAcentral is "bacterial SSU rRNA". It matches the Rfam family "Bacterial small subunit ribosomal RNA", at positions 777 to 1329 of the family's 1533-position model. The record is from RNAcentral.